AAGGAUCAUUACCUUCACAGUCCGAAAGGACUGCUCGGGGGGGCUCUGCUAUGGUGGUUUACUGCUAUAGCAAGCUCCUGUCUGAACCCUUGUCUUUUGCGCACUCAUGUUUCCUCGGCGAGCUUGCUCGCCGGUUGGACAACCUUAUAACCUUUUUAAUUUUUAAUCAGCGUCUGAAAUAAUUAUAAUAAUUACAACUUUCAACAACGGAUCUCUUGGUUCUGGCAUCGAUGAAGAACGCAGCGAAAUGCGAUAAGUAGUGUGAAUUGCAGAAUUCAGUGAAUCAUCGAAUCUUUGAACGCACAUUGCGCCCCUUGGUAUUCCAUGGGGCAUGCCUGUUCGAGCGUCAUUUGUACCCUCAAGCUCUGCUUGGUGUUGGGUGUUUGUCUUGCCUUUGCGUAUGGACUCGCCUUAAAGCAAUUGGCAGCCAGUGUAUUGGUCUUGGAGCGCAGCACAAUUUGCGCUUUUAGCUAAUAGUCACUAGCGUCCAUAAGCCUUUUUUAUCACUUUUGACCUCGGAUCAGGUAGGGAUACCCGCUGAACUUAAGCAUAUCAAUAAGCGGAGGAAAAGAAACCAACAGGGAUUGCCCUAGUAACGGCGAGUGAAGCGGCAACAGCUCAAAUUUGAAAUCUGGCUCUUUUAGGGUCCGAGUUGUAAUUUGCAGAGGGCGCUUUGGCGUUGGCAGCGGUCCAAGUUCUUUGGAACAGGACGUCACAGAGGGUGAGAAUCCCGUACGUGGUCGCUAGCCUUCGCCGUGUAAAGCCCCUUCGACGAGUCGAGUUGUUUGGGAAUGCAGCUCUAAAUGGGAGGUAAAUUUCUUCAAAAGCUAAAUACUGGCCAGAGACCGAUAGCGCACAAGUAGAGUGAUCGAAAGAUGAAAAGCACUUUGGAAAGAGAGUCAAAUAGCACGUGAAAUUGUUGAAAGGGAAGCGCUUGCAGCCAGACUUGCCUGUAGUUGCUUAUCUAGACUUUUGUCUAGUGCACUCUUCUGCGGGCAGGCCAGCAUCAGUUUGGGCGGUUGGAUAAAGGUCUCUGUCAUGUACCUCUCUUCGGAGAGGCCUUAUAGGGGAGACGACAUGCAACCAGCCUGGACUGAGGUCCGCGCAUCUGCUAGGAUGCUGGCGUAAUGGCUGUAAGCGGCC
RNAcentral lists this ribosomal RNA (1143 nucleotides) under uncultured Phaeosphaeria. RNAcentral's name for it is "eukaryotic LSU rRNA". The stretch from base 511 to 1143 matches the Rfam family "Eukaryotic large subunit ribosomal RNA", at positions 1 to 649 of the family's 3401-position model. The record is from RNAcentral. Lineage: Eukaryota; Fungi; Ascomycota; Dothideomycetes; Pleosporales; Phaeosphaeriaceae.